GCGUAAAAUCGCACCCCCCCUCGGUCUUUACUAUCAGAGAGACAAAUGUAAACAUUGUUCAGCAGGGAGCUGAAGUGUGAUACAUUUUUUGGGACGGAUGUGUCUGUUUCUCGCACGUCUCAAGCUGUUCUGCCAGCACACGCUCAGUUUGAAGGCUAUAUAUUACAUAUGCUCCGAUGGUUGCCUCCUUUUCAGCACCCUUUCCGUCAAGGCUCUCCGUCACUCCCGCAAAACUAUUUUGGUUCUCCAUCUGUUGAUUUAUUAUCCAUAAAGGUAAUGCGCCAGAACCCCGUCAGAUCUUUCUGAUGAAGGUGUCGGCCGGUAAGCUGGUGCAGAGGAGUGGGACGGCGCCUGCUUUAUAUUUGCAGCUUUGCGUUUUAUUCCACUUGUACCAGCGGAUGUUCUUUUUUAUUAACUUGUUUUUGUGGGACUUUCUUAAAUGUGGUUUCCGCAUUACAUCUGUAAAUAUUUCACGUAGGGAAUUGCUAACGCUUGCAGUUCGCGCUUGUGGCUGUGCGUGCCUGGUGAUGCGAUUCUUAAAGGCGGGAGACUGUCUCAUCCUCCUUCCUGGACCAGAGGUGAGAGGCGCGAUAUCCGCGGAUGUCCAAGGGUUUUUCUUUUUAAAACGAAUGCAAAUUCCAUUGCAGAAUAAGCGGUGCACCUUGACAAACGAAGCGCCUCGAAGGACUGGUUCAGAUAUGAGUUAUCGGCGCUGCCUCGACGAGGGCUGAGAGUGAGCCUCGCCUCGGCGGUGGAAAUGCACAGCCGUAGGCGCGUUACACCGAAGCUCUGCUUCUGCUGCCAACCAGAAGAUGGAGAAGAGCUCCACCGCCGAAACCCACCCUGCGCUCCAUACUGCGUGGACACGGCUAAAGUGCUACCCUCCGGGUAGGUGAUCACGCACCCUCGUCAGGAAGGCUGGGGUGACUAAGUCACGGCGAUGACGCUCGGCCCUCCCCUUCUUGGCUCAAGGUCCUGAAUCGGUGACCGAGACAUUGCGAACGCGCUCCCCGUACUGGAGAAGUCACUUCACAAAUGCACCUAUGCUUACUAUGCCUCCAAGAAAGGUGUAGCUUUAUUUGCCAGAGAGGACUGGAUCAUUAACUUAGAAAUUUCAGCGUAAAUUGCUUUCGUGACAACUGAACUCGUCCACCGUUAUCUGGUCUCCGGAUCCGUGGUUUUCCACUUAGCUCGUCUGUUAUUAUUAAAAUCACAGAUAGUUUAAAUGGUCAGCAUUUUAAUUUUUCUCCUGUCUGCAACAUCCAGGCCCAUGACAUAUGGUCUGGCUUGAUAAAUUGAGAUUACAUUUGGAAAUUGCGCUAAGCGGCUGUAUCGGAGAGAAUGACACACACGGCAUUGUGGGAACCGUGUACCCACGCUCUCGGCUGCGUUCUGCCACUCUGCGCUCUGCUCGUGUGCUCGUAUUUGUGUUUGCUCCUUUGUUUUUCACUCUUGUGCCUCACUUCUCUAAUUAUUAAUUUACUGAGAGGUACCAUCGGGGGGUGUGGUGGCACAGUGGGUUGAACCGGGUCCUGCUCUCGGGUUCGAGUCCCCCUUGGGGUGCCUUGUGGCGGACUGGCGUCCCAAUGUCCCUUCCUGGGUGUGUCCCUUGCGCCCUGUGUUGCCAGGUUAGGCUCUGGUUCCCUGCAACCCCCCCC
This is a long non-coding RNA of Scleropages formosus (Asian bonytongue), 1658 nucleotides long. NCBI's taxonomy places the organism in Eukaryota, Metazoa, Chordata, Actinopteri, Osteoglossiformes, Osteoglossidae. The record is from Ensembl.